Molecule: non-coding RNA, 31 nt
Filed under: Homo sapiens (human)
Lineage: Eukaryota; Metazoa; Chordata; Mammalia; Primates; Hominidae
Source: RNAcentral
UGAGACUAAGUGUGGGGCUCUUGGAAAUAGC